UACGUAGGGACCAAGCGUUGUCCGGAAUCAUUGGGCGUAAAGAGCGUGUAGGCGGCUUGUUAAGUCUUGCGUGAAAUCUCGGGGCUCAACCCCGAGCGGUCGUGAGAAACUGGCAGGCUAGAGUGCGGGAGAGGAGAGUGGAAUUCCUGGUGUAGCGGUGAAAUGCGCAGAUAUCAGGAAGAACGCCCGUGGCGAAGGCGGCUCUCUGGAACGCAACUGACGCUGAGGAGCGAAAGUGUGGGGAGCGAACAGG
RNAcentral lists this ribosomal RNA (253 nucleotides) under uncultured bacterium. RNAcentral describes it as "partial 16S ribosomal RNA". It matches the Rfam family "Bacterial small subunit ribosomal RNA", at positions 524 to 776 of the family's 1533-position model. The record is from RNAcentral.